This 276-nucleotide unclassified non-coding RNA is filed under the name Caloplaca sp. Its description in RNAcentral is "partial contains 5.8S ribosomal RNA, internal transcribed spacer 2, and large subunit ribosomal RNA". The record is from RNAcentral. Lineage: Eukaryota; Fungi; Ascomycota; Lecanoromycetes; Teloschistales; Teloschistaceae.
CGCAAAUUGCAUCCCCUGGUAGUCCAGAGGAUAUGCCUGUUCGAGUGUUGAUAUCCCCAAUCAACGCCAGUUUAUUUCUGGCAGGCUUUGAGGUCUUAAGUCGUUGGCUUUACCUUCAAUGUGGCACCCUUGGGUGGAUGGAUGCUGUUGCAUUAAUCUGUUUCCGCCAAACCAGCCCAAGAGGUUGCACACUUGAGAUUUAUAUCUCUACACGUUCUAGUGCAACGUAAUCUGAUAUUUGACCUCGGAUCAGGCAAGGAUACCCGCUGAACUUAA